RNAcentral lists this ribosomal RNA (491 nucleotides) under uncultured bacterium. RNAcentral describes it as "partial 16S ribosomal RNA". The record is from RNAcentral.
GUAGUUAGCCGGGGCUUCCUCCUUGGGUACCGUCACUUUCUUCGUCCCCAAGGACAGAGGUUUACAAUCCGAAAACCUUCUUCCCUCACGCGGCGUUGCUGGGUCAGAGUUGCCUCCAUUGCCCAAUAUUCCCCACUGCUGCCUCCCGUAGGAGUCUGGACCGUAUCUCAGUUCCAGUGUGGCCGAUCACCCUCUCAGGUCGGCUACCCAUCGCGGGCUUGGUGGGCCGUUACCUCACCAACUACCUAAUGGGACGCGAGCCCCUCUACAAGCGAUAAAUCUUUUACCCCUGUGCCAUGCAGCACUGUGGUCUCAUGCGGUAUUAGCAGCCGUUUCCAGCUGUUGUCCCCCUCUUGUAGGCAGGUCGCUCACGCGUUACUCACCCGUCCGCCACUAACACUUCUCAGGUGCAAGCACCCAAUGGUGUCCGUUCGACUUGCAUGUGUUAAGCACGCCGCCAGCGUUCGUCCUGAGCCAGGAUCAAACUCUGA